UUAGAAUCAAUCAUUAACUAUAACUUUGAAAACAUUUAUAGCUAAUGGACUACAAUCGAUAUCCCUAUGAUUAACAACACACCAAAAUUACACAUGAGUAAAUAAAUAAGUAUGUGAUUGAUAUACAUAGGUCUAGUCAGACUCGAACUGGUAGAUGUACGCAUAAGUACAUUAAUAUAAUCAUCCUCCAAACUUACCGAGUAUCAAUGAAUUAUCAUACUUAUCCUUUGACCUUUUCAGGUAUCAACAUCAUCGCAAUAUUCUUUGGUCUUGUCGGGUACCAUCAUAUCAAUUCAAUAUCCUCUGGCCUUGUUGGAUAUUAAUAUAUCAUCAUAACCUUCUCUACCCAUAUCGAGUAUCAAUAUAUGGCCAUAAUCAUAUACCUUGGCAACAUCCAUAACAUAAGCAUUUGUAUAAUGAUCAUGAUUUCAAGAAUAAUUAGUAAUAUAACUUCCCAUAAAAUCAAUAUGCAUGAGUUCUAAUAAUAAUUUAUGGCAUCAUUACUAAAAUCGUCAUAAGGAAUGUUUUAAAGUAUGAUUUAUAGCAUAAUUACUUAGUAUAAUCAAUAUGAUAAGCAAUAUCAUGAGCGAUGACCCAGUAGUAGUAUACUCAAUGAUCUAUCAUUAGCAAAAGACAGACUAUCAAUAACUUGAGCAAUAGCUAAUACAUGGUAUGACCCAUAGUUUAUUCAUAGCAUAGUCAAUAUUAUAAUUUAUGGCUUAUAAUUACUGAUGCUGAAAUAAAGUUCUAAUAAUGCAAGAAUGCAAUUUAGACAUGCUGAAAUUUUACUUGUUUUAUGCAAAAAUAUUUUUACAUGCUGAAAUUAAUAUUAGCAUACUAAAAAUACAUGAACUCUAUUGUUUUGACAAGCUGAAAAUGCGCAGAAUUCAUGUUUAUAAGCAGGAAAUUCAAUUAAACAUGUUGGAACUCGUAUUCUAAUAGUGUAGACAUGCUGGACAUUAACUGAUUUAUGUAAGAAUAGAAUUUUUAGCAUGCAAGACAUAAAUUAUCUUAUGUGAAAACAUAGUUCUAAACAAGUUGAGCUGAAUUCAUUUAUUUGUAAUACAGAAAUUAUUAAACAUGUGGGAAUUGUCUUUAGACAUACUGAAUAAUGUUAAGGCGUAGUAUUCUCAUGUUGAUAAGCUGAAAACAUGCCAAGACUGUCUAAUGUCUAAUAUUUUAACAUGCUGAAAAUUAGAGAAAUAGUAAUUUAACAUGCUGCGCAUUAGUUGUCAACGCCUAAAAAUGCAAUUUGAAUAUCCUAGAAUGCAAUUGAACAUGCAGGAAAAUUAAUUUUAAAAUGCUGAAAUUCAAUAUUAACGUGCUCAAAUUUAUUUUAAUAUGCCUAAAUGGAAGUUAACACGCCUAAACAUGCAAAGACAUAUUACAUAAGUUGUGCUUCACAUGCGAAAAAUCAACGUAGUAGCCUAACGUCUUUAUCAUGCCUUAAUUCAAUGUGGGCAUGUUAAGAAGGUAUUAGCAUGCUUACAUUUUAUUUUAAUGCGUCAGAUAUUAAAGAAACUUAAGCAAUAUUUGAAAGCGUCUAGAUGAUUCAUAUAACACGUAUUGCAUAUAAACCUAAGUUGUGCCUAUCUAUACCGUUCAUAGAGCACGUAAGUUCCCGCCCCCCACCCCCCUGAAGCACUCCCCCAGAUUUAUUAUUACAUCAAUAACAAAAGUAUCUUUACAAAUAUUACAAACCAAAUAAUACGACAAAUAAGAAAAAAGAAAAACAACUAGCUAUGAAUAAUAACAUAGUCAAUUUCAUCAUCCCGGCGACUCUUAGGAACCCCCUCCCAAUAACACCUGUCGAAUGUAAUAGAAGAACAAUGCAAGCACGGGACAAACACACACAUGGUCUAGCAUAUUGAAACGAUCGAACAAGGCACAGCAUAUAAGCAGUAAGCAAUUGUUUAAACUAAUCCUAUAGACAUGCUUUCUAGUAUGUAAAUACAUUGAUGGGGGACUUACCAGUGCACAGCAGUAAACAAGAUAAUAAGAAUAAAAGAAAACCAAGCACAGCAAAAUACGCAAGAUGUUUUUCGUAAACCUUAAAGAUAAAUCGAAGAACCCUCAAAGUAUAGAAUUGCCUUGUAUUAAAAUAGCUUAUGUUUUUAUUUUUUGAGAAAAGAGUAAUUUGUAGUUGUAGAGCUGUCUGUUAAAGAAAAGAAAUAGCAGAUGUUUUAUUUAAGAGAGUAGUAAUUGUAAUUGUAAUUGUAAUUAUUGGAACCUGUCUGUUAAUGAAAAGGGAAGGGUUUAUAUAGUGAGGGGACGCGUAACUAAGGUGGGGAAAAUAUCCCUAAGCUCAUUAAGAAUAUUUCCUUUCCUUAUUCAACUAGGAUGGUCCCCAAAAAGUAUCAAUUAAUUGAGAAUGUAAAAGGUCAUUCAGAAGAACAAAAAAGGAAAGAAGGUUGGACACCAUCAAUUAUUGAAAUUAUCGAUGGUUAUUGGGCAAACUUCAAUCAAGACUCAGAGAAAUUUCCUUUUCAUAACUGUUAAUGGAACGUCGUAACUAACGGUAUAUAACAUUCAAUCAAGAAGAGAAGAAUAUUCAAAGCAACCAUUCAAUCCACAAAGUUUUCCUUAAAUAAGAGAUUACAUCAAUCAAAGCAAAUAAGGGCAAAGGAAUAGCAAAUGAUUUUCCCUUAAUCAGGCUACUUGAAUCGAUUAGGAUCAAUCCUAAAUAUUUCAAUUAGACUAACAUUCCAAUCUAAUCAAAUAUUUGAGUCGAUUGGUAGGUAAGUAAUGGCAUGUUAGCCAAUAAGAACUUUCAAUCAGACAAUAGGCAAGCACAUAUAUACUGAAAUUCAUAUUGGGGUCAAGAUCAAGCACAUGCAAUAGUUGGGCAUUUUCACAUAUGUUGAUUACAAGAUAUAGGAAAGCACGAAACUUGAAGAAUCAUGUUAAAACAACUAAUAAUGUUUCAUGAAUUUCACAUCUAAAAUCAGGCAAAGCACCUAAAAAAAUUAGAAAAAGAGAAUUCAAACCGUUAAGAGGGACCAAUAUGAAAAUACUUGUAUUAUUUUACCACAUUCCUCAGAAACUCAUAGUUUGGCAUCCGUUUAGUCCUUUUGUUGUUGUUGAAGCGUAGGGUACGAAGAGGAGGAGGAGGAAGGCGGCUGUUGUCCGACGCCGGUGGGAAUAGUGGCCGUCGGAGAUGGAUGAAGCGGCUGGAUGGCGGCAAUUUGGUGGUGAAGAGAAGAACGGAGGGGGCUCAGAGGCGGUGAGGUCGCGAUGGUAGCGAUGCUGGUUUGCUGGUUAGAUUUUCACCGAUGAUGGCAACGGCGGGUCGUGGCGGGCGAGGGCUGUUGAUGGCGAUGGCGGUGUGGUGGCGUUGGUCGCCGGUGGAUGAAAUGCUCGCCGGCGUCAGCUAUGGAUGCCGAUUGAGAGGAGAGGAAAGGGGUAGAGAGAGAAGGAAGAGAGAGAAAGUGCUUGACCGGCUAUGUUUGGUUUUUGACUUAGGGUUAGGGUUCAUUUGGUUUUUAAUAAGGAAAGAUGAUAGAUUAAAUAUCAGCCGUUAGAUCAAUUUUUAUCAAUGGUUGGGAUUUUGAGACUACGUGGAGUUAGAAUGUGGCUAGGAUUGUAAGAAAUUAGGCUA
Molecule: long non-coding RNA, 3598 nt
Filed under: Capsicum annuum
Lineage: Eukaryota; Viridiplantae; Streptophyta; Magnoliopsida; Solanales; Solanaceae
Description: long non-coding RNA (CANN_LNC010116)
Source: RNAcentral